CGCAGCCCGGGCCUGCCGCUGCCGGCUCGCCGGGUGGCCGUCGCUGCGGCAGCUAUCGCCCUCGACCCGGAGAUCAAAACCGAGCUGAAUGACGCCUCAAAAACUGAGGUGUUCGCAUGCCCUGUUUGCUAUGAACCGCUGAUAAGGACAGGGCCGCCAGGCAUGAACCUGCCAGCGAUUUAUAGGUCCGGAUUCAAGUGUUCAAAAUGCAACAAGUCAUUCAUCAGCAAAGAUGUCUUCUUGGAUCUCACUGUCACCUCAGGAAUGAAAGAAUACAGUGAACUCAAGCCUGCUAGAACCGAGCUGUUCAGGAGCCCGCUCGUCUCCUUUCUUUACGAGAGGGGGUGGCGUCAGAACUUGAAUCGGAGUGACUUCCCUGGCCGCGACGAAGAGUUCCAAAUGGCUCAAGACUAUUUCCAAUCAGUUGCUGGUGGUAUACUCAUUGAUGUCAGCUGCGGCAGUGGCUUGUUUUCAAGGAAGUUUGCAAGCUCUGGGGCAUACUCAUCUGUGAUUGCUUUGGACUUUUUUGAGAAUAUGCUCCGGCAAUGCUAUGACUACAUCAAAUCAGAAGAAACCCCUAUGAACACGAACCUUGCACUUGUAAGGGCUGAUAUUUCGAAGCUCCCUUUUGCUUCAAGUUCAAUUGAUGCCAUUCAUGCUGGAGCCGCUAUCCACUGUUGGCCAUCCCCUUCAAAUGCGAUAGCUGAAAUCAGCCGUGUGCUGAAGCCCGGUGGUGUAUUUGUAGCGACAACUUUCUUAUCCACCCCCACGAACAGCGGCCUGUUCUCUAUCGAUGCACUAAAGCCACUGAAACAGAUUGUCGGGCCAGUGAACAGCAGCUACAACUUCUUCACGGAAGGAGAGCUGGAAGACCUGUGCAGAUCCUGUGGCCUGGUCAGCUGA
This 903-nucleotide ribosomal RNA is filed under the name Triticum aestivum (bread wheat). Its description in RNAcentral is "partial small subunit ribosomal RNA". Lineage: Eukaryota; Viridiplantae; Streptophyta; Magnoliopsida; Poales; Poaceae. The record is from RNAcentral.